ACACUACUGAGGAGUCCCACAAUAGGACGAAACGACAGUCCAAUAU
Schistosoma haematobium is the source of this 46-nucleotide non-coding RNA. Lineage: Eukaryota; Metazoa; Platyhelminthes; Trematoda; Strigeidida; Schistosomatidae. The record is from Rfam.